UACGUAGGGGGCAAGCGUUAUCCGGAUUUACUGGGUGUAAAGGGAGCGUAGACGGCUUUGCAAGCCAGAUGUGAAAGCCCGGGGCUCAACCCCGGGACUGCAUUUGGAACUGUGUGGCUAGAGUGUCGGAGAGGCAGGCGGAAUUCCUAGUGUAGCGGUGAAAUGCGUAGAUAUUAGGAGGAACACCAGUGGCGAAGGCGGCCUGCUGGACCGAAACUGACGUUGAGGCUCGAAAGCGUGGGGAGCAAACAGG
Molecule: ribosomal RNA, 253 nt
Filed under: uncultured bacterium
Lineage: Bacteria
Description: partial 16S ribosomal RNA
Rfam family: Bacterial small subunit ribosomal RNA
Source: RNAcentral